ACAUUAAAGUGCAUGUCAAGUGUGCCUCAGAGUCUUACCCCACCCACGUAUCAAUUUUGAAAACUGCAACAUUAGUAGGCGUUGCCUGGAGGACCGAGAGGGCGGAGCCGUGGCAGUGACGAAGAGACGGCUAACUAGACGAAGCUAGCUCCCUUCACUCUGAGCAGUCAUUAGAAGUGGAGGACGUUUCUCCCCCUCCUUACCCAGACACUCGAGAAGAAAGGGACCAAGUCUAUUUGGAGGAGACAAGCGGACAUGAGCCUUAUUGUUUUGAGCUUGUGAGUUGCCUGAAAUUACUGGAACCGACCCAACAGACCCAUCUCUGAACGUGAUCCUCUGGUGUCUGCAGCUGGUCUCCUGCUGAUGUCGUCGGGAUCAGGAACUUCCAGAAGAAUGUGCCUUUCAAUGACUCUUUCCCCCUUAUUUGUUAUAUUAAUUAAAUAAAUCUCAAUUUA
Molecule: non-coding RNA, 455 nt
Organism: Nothobranchius furzeri (turquoise killifish)
Lineage: Eukaryota; Metazoa; Chordata; Actinopteri; Cyprinodontiformes; Nothobranchiidae
Source: RefSeq, a predicted model, not a curated record